This 1330-nucleotide ribosomal RNA is filed under the name Salmonella enterica. RNAcentral describes it as "partial 23S ribosomal RNA". It matches the Rfam family "Bacterial large subunit ribosomal RNA", at positions 1494 to 2802 of the family's 2925-position model. Lineage: Bacteria; Pseudomonadati; Pseudomonadota; Gammaproteobacteria; Enterobacterales; Enterobacteriaceae. The record is from RNAcentral.
GGCGACGGUUGUCCCGGUUUAAGCGUGUAGGUGUGUGUUCCAGGUAAAUCCGGUUCACUUUAACACUGAGGCGUGACGACGAGGCACUACGGUGCUGAAGCAACAAAUGCCCUGCUUCCAGGAAAAGCCUCUAAGCAUCAGGUAACAUCAAAUCGUACCCCAAACCGACACAGGUGGUCAGGUAGAGAAUACCAAGGCGCUUGAGAGAACUCGGGUGAAGGAACUAGGCAAAAUGGUGCCGUAACUUCGGGAGAAGGCACGCUGACACGUAGGUGAAGUGAUUUACUCAUGGAGCUGAAGUCAGUCGAAGAUACCAGCUGGCUGCAACUGUUUAUUAAAAACACAGCACUGUGCAAACACGAAAGUGGACGUAUACGGUGUGACGCCUGCCCGGUGCCGGAAGGUUAAUUGAUGGGGUCAGCGCAAGCGAAGCUCCUGAUCGAAGCCCCGGUAAACGGCGGCCGUAACUAUAACGGUCCUAAGGUAGCGAAAUUCCUUGUCGGGUAAGUUCCGACCUGCACGAAUGGCGUAAUGAUGGCCAGGCUGUCUCCACCCGAGACUCAGUGAAAUUGAACUCGCUGUGAAGAUGCAGUGUACCCGCGGCAAGACGGAAAGACCCCGUGAACCUUUACUAUAGCUUGACACUGAACAUUGAGCCUUGAUGUGUAGGAUAGGUGGGAGGCUUUGAAGUGUGGACGCCAGUCUGCAUGGAGCCGACCUUGAAAUACCACCCUUUAAUGUUUGAUGUUCUAACGUGGACCCGUUACCCGGGUUGCGGACAGUGUCUGGUGGGUAGUUUGACUGGGGCGGUCUCCUCCUAAAGAGUAACGGAGGAGCACGAAGGUUGGCUAAUCCUGGUCGGACAUCAGGAGGUUAGUGCAAUGGCAUAAGCCAGCUUGACUGCGAGCGUGACGGCGCGAGCAGGUGCGAAAGCAGGUCAUAGUGAUCCGGUGGUUCUGAAUGGAAGGGCCAUCGCUCAACGGAUAAAAGGUACUCCGGGGAUAACAGGCUGAUACCGCCCAAGAGUUCAUAUCGACGGCGGUGUUUGGCACCUCGAUGUCGGCUCAUCACAUCCUGGGGCUGAAGUAGGUCCCAAGGGUAUGGCUGUUCGCCAUUUAAAGUGGUACGCGAGCUGGGUUUAGAACGUCGUGAGACAGUUCGGUCCCUAUCUGCCGUGGGCGCUGGAGAACUGAGGGGGGCUGCUCCUAGUACGAGAGGACCGGAGUGGACGCAUCACUGGUGUUCGGGUUGUCAUGCCAAUGGCACUGCCCGGUAGCUAAAUGCGGAAGAGAUAAGUGCUGAAAGCAUCUAAGCACGAAACUUGCCCCGA